This 288-nucleotide ribosomal RNA is filed under the name uncultured bacterium. Its description in RNAcentral is "partial 16S ribosomal RNA". It matches the Rfam family "Bacterial small subunit ribosomal RNA", at positions 29 to 334 of the family's 1533-position model. The record is from RNAcentral.
AACGAACGCUGGCGGCAGGCUUAACACAUGCAAGUCGAACGAGAAUGUUCUUUCGGGAACAGGACAGUGGCGCACGGGUGAGUAACGCGUGGGUAUCUACCUGGAAGUGGGGAAUAACCAUUGGAAACGAUGGCUAAUACCGCAUACGCCUUUAGAGGGAAAGCUUUAGCGCUUUCAGAUGAGCCCGCGUUAGAUUAGCUAGUUGGUAGGGUAAAGGCCUACCAAGGCGACGAUCUAUAGCUGGUUUGAGAGGAUGAUCAGCCACACUGGGACUGAGACACGGCCCAG